UGGUGGAGUGAUUUGUCUGGUUAAUUCCGAUAACGAACGAGACCUUAACCUGCUAACUAGUCACAUUAACUUUGGUUGGUGGCGACUUCUUAGAGGGACUGACUGUGUUUAACAGUCGGAAGUUUGAGGCAAUAACA
This 137-nucleotide ribosomal RNA is filed under the name uncultured eukaryote. RNAcentral describes it as "partial 18S ribosomal RNA". It matches the Rfam family "Eukaryotic small subunit ribosomal RNA", at positions 1299 to 1458 of the family's 1831-position model. The record is from RNAcentral.